Long non-coding RNA from Felis catus (domestic cat), 3456 nucleotides. RefSeq lists it as uncharacterized. The transcript is spliced from 3 exons. NCBI's taxonomy places the organism in Eukaryota, Metazoa, Chordata, Mammalia, Carnivora, Felidae. The record is from RefSeq and is a predicted model, not a curated record.
ACCUGCAAAACCAAAAAUACCCCCGUUACCGAGAACAGGAAUAAGUAAAUAAGAUCCAAAAAAUGCACGAACAUUGGUUGACCUUUUUUUUUAAAUUUUAGCACAUCUAUUUUGUUCGUUAAGUCAACAGUCCCCUGGUUGAUCAUUCCUUUUGUUUUGUUUUGUUUUGUUUUGUUUUUUUAACUUUCUGGUCAGUCUGUUUUCUAGUCCGCCUACCUGCCCAUUCUUGGCAGCCCCUAUCCAUCUAGCCCAUUUCAGAAUUAUGGGUCUUACUGAGGGUGGGCAGUACAGCACUGCAGAAAGAUCACUGGCUUCAGUCAAUAACCUCGUGGAUCCUGGCUUUAUUCUCACCAGCAGUGUGACUUGAUCAAACUGCCUGGCUGUGGCAGAGACUAAGAGGUAUUUCCCAACGUCCUUUCUCUCCUUCCUCUUACAUAACAGAGCCCGUGAGCCCACAAGUGUCUAGAAUAAAGACUAUAUUUCCUAGUUCCUGUAGUUCUGGUUGAGGGAGUACAUGCAGAAAUAAUUUGUGCACUUUCUAGGAAGGAUUCUUAAAGGGAAUUUGUUUUUUCUUUUCUCAUUUCAUGGGGAUGUAAUGCCGGAGAACCAGGAAUCAUCUUAAACUGCCAUGAAGGCCGUGCCUUAAGGACAGAAAAGCAGAAAGCUACAAGGAUCCUGGAACUCUGAUGAAUUUUUGAACUAUCAUACCCUGGACUGCUGCUGCUUUAAGCUUUCUGAAAUUGUGAAAUAGAACACACAUUUAGAAAAAUGCACAGUGAUAGAUGUACAGUGUAACGAAUUAAGGUGCAGAGAUCUAUGCUGGUGUUGUGGAACAGGCCAAGGGAUAUACAGUAUGCUUGCUCUCACGGAGCUCACAGUCUUCUUCAGGAAGCCAAUGAUACAGGGGAAUUGAGGAGCAUUCAAGGGCAACUGUCUCAAAGUGAGGAGCUUUCCUUUGGCAGUGAAGGCCUGCACAUCAUGAUUCUUGAAAAUGAACUUGUUUCCUUGUGAAACAGUGUGUGUGUUCUGAUUUCAACAUACGUUUUAUUUGUUUUACUUUUGAUCACCAAAAGUCCCCCAAAUUAUAUGUAACAUAGGAUUUUGUUCACUGGUUCUAUAUUCAGCCACAGGAGGGGAUACUUUUAACUUAAAAGUAUCAAAAAUUCUAAUCUCCAUCAUUUAAAAAUCAUACUUUAGAAUCACAUUUUUCUGGGGCUCCUGGGUGGCUCAGUUGGUUAAGCAUCCGACUUCAGCUCAGGUCAUGAUCUCACAGCUUGUGAGUUCAAGACCCACGUCGGGCUCUGUGCUGACAGCUCAGAGCCUGGAGCCUGCUUUGGAUUCUGUGUCUCCCUCUCGCUGCUGUCUCUGUCUCUCAAGAAUAAAAUAAUAGAAUCACAUUUUCACCACAUAAUUUUUACAUUAGUUUUCCCACAGAAAACAUACAGAAGUGAUAAAACAAGCACAAAGCCAAAACUUGAAAUUAGUAAAAAUAUGCAAAUUGAGUAAAAUUUGAAACCAUAUGAAAUUACUGUGGUUGUAAUAGAACCUCUGAGUUUCUACAAAAUAAAACUGACACAAAAUAUAUAUAACAGCUCUAAUAUAUAACAGCUUUACAAUAACCACAACUACUGAAUCAAUAAAAGCAACAGCAAUCAAAAAAAUAAUAAUUCUAAACACAGGCAUCUCUUCAGUGAUAGGCCCUAAAUAGCACCACAUGAAACCACUUUAAAACCAGUCAUUCAUAAUAUGUUGGUAUCGAUCUGGGAAAACAGGCACUCACAUACACUGCAGCAAUUAGUACAUCAUUUAUGCAAGAAAUUUGUCAAUAUACAUCAAAACUAUAAAUGCAGGCAUAUUGUGGGCUAGCAAUUCCAUGUCUAAGAAUUUUCUUCUAGAUAUGUUCACACAUGUACCAAAUUAUAUGCAAACAAGAUUACUCAAUGCAGUAUUACUUUUAAUACAAAAAACUUGAGACAAUAUAAAUAACAAGAGGGGAUUGGUUAAAAUAUGGCACAUUUAAGCAAUGAUAUAUCAUGCAAAAAAUAAUGUAACAUAAUUAUGGGAUGAUCUCCAAGAUAUAUUAAAUAAUAAAAGCACAGACAAAACCAUGUGUAUUAUAUACUAACAUUUGUGUAAAAAAAAGUUUAAAAAGAUACUUGGAACCACAUAGCUGGGAGACAGGGAUAGAAGGUUUACAUUUAAUACUCUCAUAGAACUCCUGAAUUUUGAACUAUGUGGAUAUUUUUCCCAGUCAAUAAAUAAAUUCUAAAUAUGAGAGAAAAGAAAGAAAAAAAUCAAAUUUUGAAAAAAAGCAAUUGGAUUUUUACAAUUAAAAAUGUUUGGUCAAGAAGUCCAAUCAAAAGUAUAAUAAAACUAACAAAAAUAUUUGAGAAUUUCUUCAAUCUCAGUCUUAUCAUUGUCUUGAAAAAUAAAGUUCCCAGGGAGAGAGAAAGGAACAUGAAUGAAUAUGAGAAUAUCAAGGAAAUGCUCUUACCAAACAAUACAUUUUAACCUGCUUAAAAGACAAACUGGCUAGGCAACUGAGUUUAAUCCAUAGUUUUCAUAAAUGAAAGAAAGAACUGAUUGUUACACUCUUUUAACCUACUUUAAGAUGUAAUUUGACAAAUCUUCAAAAAUAUAUUCCAACCUAAAUUACUACCAAGAAUAGCCUGAAAAUAUUGUACUGUGGAAAUUCUUUUAUGCCAUUCUAGAUAUUUUUCUUCCAUGAUUACUGUGACAUAGCCCGUAUUUUUUAAACCUUAUACCACCUGUACCUUCAUGUUUCUAUGAUUCUGAAUUCUCAAAAUAAUGUUAGCCAUAAGACUAAAAGCAGAUACACUGUCUGGACAUAAACCUGAUAUUUUGUGAUUCUCUUCAAUUCAAACCAAUAUUCUAAACUAACAGACUCCAUACAAUGGCAUCUCAUCCCAAAUCCAAAAGGACAUAUAAAAACAAGGACAAUAAAAUAAUGUGAAUCCUAUGACCCCAUCAGCUACAACAAACAUUAAACACAGCCCAAUGUCUAGCCAGAUUAGAAUAAAUCCCACAUUAUGCCUAUUUACUUCAGUUCCUAUUGCUUGAUAACAGAUGUCAGGCUAUCAAAAACAUUAAAAGGUAUUCCAAAGGAAAGGGGGAAAAAAAACCCACAAAAACACAGUCUAAAGAGAGAAAGCAAUCAUCAGAACCAGAUUCAGAUAGGACAUAAAUGUUGGAAUUAUCAGACAGAAAAUUUAAGAUAACAAUGAUCAAUAUUAUGAUAAAGGCUCUAAUGCAAAAGGUAGAUGACAUGCAAGAAUAGAUGAGUAAUGUAAAUAGAGACAAAAACUCAAAGAAUCAAAAGGAUAGAAAUCAAAACACUAUAACAGAAAUGAAGAAUGCCAUCAAUGGCUCAUCAGUAAACUCCACAUAGCUAAAAAAAAAAAAAAAAAAAAAAAAGAAUCCAGGAAUUUAAAGAUA